UGGGGGAUAUUGCACAAUGGAGGAAACUCUGAUGCAGCGACGCCGCGUGAAGGAAGACGUGCUUCGGCAUGUAAACUUCUAUCAGCAGGGAAGAAGAUGACGGUACCUGACUAAGAAGCCCCGGCUAACUACGUGCCAGCAGCCGCGGUAAUACGUAGGGGGCAAGCGUUAUCCGGAUUUACUGGGUGUAAAGGGAGCGUAGACGGUGAUGCAAGUCUGAUGUGAAACCCCGGGGCUUAACUCCGGGCUUGCAUUGGAAACUGUACCACUUGAGUACUGGAGGGGCAGGCGGAAUUCCUGGUGUAGCGGUGAAAUGCGUAGAUAUCAGGAAGAACACCGGUGGCGAAGGCGGCCUGCUGGACAGUCACUGACGUUGAGGCUC
Molecule: ribosomal RNA, 382 nt
Filed under: uncultured Lachnospiraceae bacterium
Lineage: Bacteria; Bacillati; Bacillota; Clostridia; Lachnospirales; Lachnospiraceae
Description: bacterial SSU rRNA
Rfam family: Bacterial small subunit ribosomal RNA
Source: RNAcentral